RNAcentral lists this ribosomal RNA (520 nucleotides) under Vibrio parahaemolyticus. Its description in RNAcentral is "bacterial SSU rRNA". It matches the Rfam family "Bacterial small subunit ribosomal RNA", at positions 408 to 999 of the family's 1533-position model. The record is from RNAcentral. Lineage: Bacteria; Pseudomonadati; Pseudomonadota; Gammaproteobacteria; Vibrionales; Vibrionaceae.
AAGAAGGCCUUCGGGUUGUAAAGCACUUUCAGUCGUGAGGAAGGUGGUAGUGUUAAUAGCACUAUCAUUUGACGUUAGCGACAGAAGAAGCACCGGCUAACUCCGUGCCAGCAGCCGCGGUAAUACGGAGGGUGCGAGCGUUAAUCGGAAUUACUGGGCGUAAAGCGCAUGCAGGUGGUUUGUUAAGUCAGAUGUGAAAGCCCGGGGCUCAACCUCGGAAUUGCAUUUGAAACUGGCAGACUAGAGUACUGUAGAGGGGGGUAGAAUUUCAGGUGUAGCGGUGAAAUGCGUAGAGAUCUGAAGGAAUACCGGUGGCGAAGGCGUAAACGAUGUCUACUUGGAGGUUGUGGCCUUGAGCCGUGGCUUUCGGAGCUAACGCGUUAAGUAGACCGCCUGGGGAGUACGGUCGCAAGAUUAAAACUCAAAUGAAUUGACGGGGGCCCGCACAAGCGGUGGAGCAUGUGGUUUAAUUCGAUGCAACGCGAAGAACCUUACCUACUCUUGACAUCCAGAGAACUUU